RNAcentral lists this ribosomal RNA (253 nucleotides) under uncultured bacterium. Its description in RNAcentral is "partial 16S ribosomal RNA". It matches the Rfam family "Bacterial small subunit ribosomal RNA", at positions 524 to 776 of the family's 1533-position model. The record is from RNAcentral.
UACGGAGGGUGCAAGCGUUAAUCGGAAUUACUGGGCGUAAAGCGUGCGCAGGCGGUUUGUUAAGGCCGUUGUGAAAGCCCCGAGCUCAACUUGGGAAUUGCAGUGGAUACUGGCAGGCUGGAGUACGGUAGAGGAAGGUGGAAUUCCCGGUGUAGCAGUGAAAUGCGUAGAUAUCGGGAGGAACACCAGUGGCGAAGGCGGCCUUCUGGACCAGUACUGACGCUCAUGCACGAAAGCGUGGGGAGCAAACAGG